This 312-nucleotide ribosomal RNA is filed under the name Chileogovea oedipus. RNAcentral describes it as "eukaryotic LSU rRNA". It matches the Rfam family "Eukaryotic large subunit ribosomal RNA", at positions 666 to 946 of the family's 3401-position model. Lineage: Eukaryota; Metazoa; Arthropoda; Arachnida; Opiliones; Pettalidae. The record is from RNAcentral.
CCAAGGAGUCUAACAUGUGCGCGAGUCAUUGGGACUUGUUUAUGCCCAUAGGCGAAAUGAAAGUGAAGGCCGGCUGCACGUCGGCCGCGUUGGGAUCCCUCGGACGAGUGCCGGGGGCGCACCAACGGCCCGUCCCGAUCGCAACGUCGACGGGGCGGAGCGAGAGCGCAUACGUUGGGACCCGAAAGAUGGUGAACUAUGCCUGGGCAGGACGAAGCCAGAGGAAACUCUGGUGGAGGUCCGCAGCGAUUCUGACGUGCAAAUCGAUCGUCAGACCUAGGUAUAGGGGCGAAAGACUAAUCGAACCAUCUA